UGUUUACUUUUAUUAACACCUUUUAAUCAUUAAGGUGCUUUAUACUAAGAUAUUGACUUUGGUUGUGAGCAGUUCUUCUGGCUGAAUUGAUUUAUGAUACACUCUGUUGCUAUCCAGACAGUUUCCAGUGAAAUGACAAAGAAGUUCUGCUUCCAUACCCAACUAAUCAAUGGAAAGCAAAGCAAGACCAGACAAAACAAAACCUUUUAUAUAAAGUGACUGGAUAUUAAAUGUCAUGUUGUAUAUGCUAUGUGUGAAAAUAAAGAGCAGACAUACAUAUCUUGUUAAUCGAUAUUGCUAUUUGCUUUCCAAAGAUAAAUUUAUAUCUAGUACAGAGACUAUUAAAACUGUUGUUGCAUUGAAUGGUUUGUUUAAAAAUAAAUAAAUGCCCAUACAUGUUAUGUGAGUGUUAAUAUUUCUGCUUACAGCAUUAAUAUUUGUGAGAAUAUAGACAUUCAAACAUUUAAAUUAUUAAACAUUUAAAUUAGUAAUUGACUAAAUGAAAUUAAUAUUCUGGUAGAAAAAUGCCUAAUACAACAAAUUCUUUUGACAAAUUAAAGAAGACCAUGGAAUACAUUCAGAUUUCUCAAUUAAUUGAGAAAUUACUGUUUCUUAUAAUAUAUUACAGAUUAAAUAAUACAUUUUUACAAACUAUUUUCACUCUAUCUUAAAAUUACAUUCAUAUACUUCCAAUUGCAUUUGUUUUGAAGUAUCAUAAAUAUCACAAUGCAUGGAAUAUAAUACAAGAAACUAUCAUAUAUUAUCUGCAUAUUCCUAAACACUUAGUAGUGUGGGGCAUUGUGCUCAGAAAGUAAAACCUGUGGAAGUUGGAGACGUACAAGCCAAGGAGUUAUAGAAAGGUAGAGUGAGGACCGAUAUUAAUGGAUCUUGCAUGCCAUAAUAAGCCCUAAAGAAAUAUUGAUUAAUUUAAAAAGAAAAUAAGUGACAUAUCUGUAUUUGUUUGAGCAAGAUACCUAGGUACAGUGUGGAGACGGAAAAGGCUGUAGAUAAAUAGAAUAUUAUUCCUGUGAUACAAAUAGUAUAAGAAAAAUAUCUGAUAGGAGUGGUGACUGGACAGAGAAUGAAAAGGGAAUAUAUUUGUGAGGCAUUUUGAAUAGAAUGUUAUAACUUGGUUACUGAUGGAACAUGGGUGGCAAGAUAGAGGAAUGAGUUGAGAAUGUUUCUCAUAUUUCUAGCUCACAGAUUAUCUAAUGUGAGCAUUACAUUUAUUUAAUCUUUGUAUUAAUAUCAGUACAAUGUACCUUAUUAAUUUUUAAUUUAUUUAAUAACAAUGUUGAAUAUGUUUUAAUUUUAUACACAUUUGGCAAAAC
Molecule: long non-coding RNA, 1331 nt
Filed under: Homo sapiens (human)
Lineage: Eukaryota; Metazoa; Chordata; Mammalia; Primates; Hominidae
Description: HSALNT0045240
Source: RNAcentral